CCAUGCCGACCCUGGCAUGGGUGAGUGGGAGGGCGACAGUGACAGAAAGAGAGAGUGACAGUGAGAGAAAGAGAUUUCAGGGAUUUUGGGGGGGGGGGGAGAGUGAUGUCAGGGAUUGGUAAUCCUAUCCCGUGUUUUCCCCUCAUCUCUGUCACACUUAACCUCUCUCUAACCCUUUCUCUCUCACUCUCUUGACUCCCUUUCUCCCAACUCUCCAUCUCUCUCAACUUUAGUCCUAACCCUUAUUUGUUCUUUCAUUCCUCAAUUUUCUCCAUCCGAGCAAUGAAAAAUCGAACUGGGUUUUCAGAUUAUUGAUGCAAAGGGAUUCACGGACAGAGAAGGGAGAGGGAGAGAGAGUUGAUUGAGGGAGUUGGUGAGUAUGGGCUUGCACAGAGGGAAGAACGCAGAGUGAGAGAACGAUUGCACAGAUACAAGGAGAGAGACAGAGAGAGAGAUCAUAGAAAGAGGAGGAUGACGAAAAUUGAGGAGGAACCCAUGCCUGCAGAGAGUGAGUAGUUGUGCCAAAAACCUACCAGAAAUAUACUUCAAGAAAGGUUUUUACUACAGGAUGGAUAGAUGGAGAAAAGUUAUCUCAGAGUACUGAAAGUGAUGUUGGAGAACUGGUUAACGUUGGAGUCAUAUGUUACUUGAAGCAGUUGCUUGAUACUGGAAUGUUUCAUGCUGAUCCUCAUCCUGGGAAUAUGAUUCGCACUCCAGAUGGGAAGCCUGCCAUACUUGACUUCGGAGAAGCAAGAAAUACAAUUAAAAAAGCCAUGCGUAAUAAGCGGAAAUGUAUCACCACUGUGAAAGGGCUGCAAUUUUUUGGACUAGAAUUCGUUUAUUCGGGCAUCAGCCUUUCCAUCCUUGAGUUGUUCUCGGAGCAUUUGUUCUACCAGUGUUUUCCUGCCUUCUUUCGUCCAGGCUGAAGCAAUUUUGUUGCUGACCUUCGCCCACAUUCCAGCUCCGCCCUGGUGAGGCAGAUAGAGGGAGAGAGGGAAAUUGUGGUUUCAAGACCUCUCGCUUCUGUUCUUGGAAGGUAAGUCAAAGAAAGCUAAGAAAAGAAAAAGAAGGCAGGAGAGCAGCUCAAGAGGAAUAUCAAGUAUGAUUCUUGAAUUUGAAACAUUGCUUUGUAUCUGAGUUAUCACAGUUUCAUGGCACAAGAAAGCUUUGUAAAAGAAAAGGAGGGAUCUUGAUUCUUCAAAGUCCACAAAGACAAUGGAAACGAAAGUAGAAGCUGAUCCAACAACAAUGUUUUUAAAAGCACUCUGUAUUCAUGAUUUGAGAUAGGGCAUCAGAGGUUGAUCCUUAUCAAAUUUGGAAUCGGCCAUCCCCAAAAUCGUAUCCACCCGAUACCCUAAAAACUCCCGUCGUUUUCCUAAAAAUUGCUGCUGCUGGUGGCUUGGAUUCAGCUGAAUCUCACAAGAAGUGUGCAUUCUAUACAUCGUCUUCAAAUAGCGCCCAUCACUUGGAUUCUUUUUGUAUUGAGCAUUGCCAUUGUCACCACGCUCUUUUUCGUCGCCUUGAAGCCGGAAGAAGUCGUCCAAGAAGCAAGACAAGAAAAAAAAGCGGAGGGGGAGGCGGGGAGGGACUCACAAUCAGCCUACUACACCUGCGCCAACACCUCAAGCUACUCCUCCUGCACACGCAUCUGAGAGUGAGUAUCAAAAUCCAAGUGAGUGAUCACUCGUUGACGAUGAAGAUUGUCCAAGUGAACAAUUAGGGGAAAGCGAGUAAGUAAGUCCAAGUGACUCAUCAGUCCUUGACGACACAGAUUGUGAAAUUGAAUCAAGGGACGAGCCUGCCCAUACAUUGCCUCGUAAGCAGUUCAUGUUGAAUGUAGUGAAGCAUCGGUACCUUGCCAAGAAAUUAAAAGGAAAGGUAUGUAUCUAAUUUCCAUCUGUGAUUUGCUUGCAUUUGACUAAUCAUUUCUACUACUCUCAAUACAAAACAAGUUGUCUGGUCAUAUGUUUCUGAAGAAAUUUGAAUGUUCGUUUGCGUGCCAAUUAACUUCCAAAGUAAUUGAAUUCAUGAAUAUUAUGAGAAGAAUUGUCAGGUUGUCAACCAUAUGUUUUGCCACUAGUCACACAUAUUUUAAUGUUCUCUAGUUUACCUAUUGGUUAGGUUGGUUAUAAGGCAUUUGUUGGCAUAGUAAGGUUUGUUAAUUUGAUUUUAUAUGUCUACAUAUUUUAAUGUUCUCUAGUUUACCUAUUCUUUAGGAUGAUUUUGUAGACCUUCAACCUAUAUUUUAAUGUUAUAUUAUUUAUUAGUUUUAUCUUGGCUAUUUGAAUUCAUAUUACUGGUGCAAAUAUUAUCCCGUAUGAAAUUGAAUAUGAAGGUGACCACUACACUUUCACAACACCGAGACAAGUAACAUUAUACUUUGAAGACGGAGAAAGAACAAAGUGUAGCAUGGUGCCAUACUUAGGAAACUUAAAGAGAAGAGCCACGAUGCACUUUCAAAAUAGCUCCAACAUCAAGCAUGAAAAUCUUCUUAAUGUCAAACCCGUCGCAUUUGAUGAAGUAGAUGAACAAUGGUACAUAUUCUAUGAUGAGUUCAAAUGCCCAUUUGCUCAGUUGACCAACAAUAUCGUUUGUACCAAGAAAUGGUGGAGAACGUCCGUUAAGAAGAUACUUGAGAUGUUGGAGUAUAUGCAUAAUAAUAACCAAACACAUGAAAGCUUAAAUAAAGCUUCUAGUUACGUGGUUGUUGGUGAAGAUUUGAAGAUAUUGAACAUUAAAAGUGUGGAUGAAAGCCAAAAGAUUAGCCAAAAAUUUCAAGAUCUUUCAGACUUUGGCGAGUUUAUCUCCGAUACGUUACCUACGACGAUAGUGGACAAGACACUAUUUCUUGGUUGCUUCAAAAUUGAUGGACCGGCUUGUGUAUUGAAGUAAGUAAACAACUUUAUUAGUAAGUAAAACUAUUUUCCUAUUGUUCUUAUAUGCCGAAGACAUUUUGUUUUUUCCCCUCCUAGUUAUGGGGAUUUUAUCAGUGUGCUCAUCUAUAAUCUGAGUCUGAUUAGUGAGUUCAAAAGGCUCUAUUAUUUUGCGGAUAUUCGCCAAUCGAAAAGACAUGAACAAGGCUCAAUGGUUCCCACUUUCACAAGGUUAUUAAAGGCUCAACUUUCAUAGAUUUUAGAGAUUGGGACACCAAGAUUGUUGAAGAUGGUUGAAAUCUAUGAAAGUUGAGGCUUUAAUAACCUUGUUAAAGUGGGAACCGUUGAGCCUUGUUCUAUGUCUUUUCGAUUAGUGAAUAUCGGCAAAAUAAUCGACCCUUUUGAACUCACUCAUCAGACUCGGAUGAUUGAUGAGCACACUGAUAAAAUCCCCAUAACUAGGAGAGGAAAAAACAAAAAGUCUUCAGCAUAUAAGAACAAUAGGCAAAUAGUUUUACUUACUAAUAAAGUUGUUUACUUACUUAAAUAAGCAAGCCGGUCCAUUAAUUUUGAAGCAACCAAGAAAUAGUGUCCUGUCUACUAUUGUCGUAGGUAACAUAUCAGAGAUAAACUCGCCAAAGUCUGAAAGAUCUUGAAAUUUUUGGCUAAUCUUUUGGCUCUCAUCCACACUUUUAAUGUUCAAUAUCUUCAAAUCUUCACCAACAACCACGUAACUAGAAGCUUUAUUUAAGCUUGCAUGUGUUUGGUUCUUGUUAUGCAUAGACUCCAACAUCUCAAGUAUUUUCCUACAGAUAAAGAUAGUAACGAAUGAUAAAUUUACCAAACCUACACAGAUAGUCACACACAAGCAAACACGCACACACAUAUUAAAAAACACAUUAACACUUACUUAACGGACGUUCUCCACCAUUUCUUGGUACAAACGAUACUGUUGGUCAAAUGGGCAUUUGAACUCAUCAUAGAAUAUAUACCAUUGUUCCUCUACUUCAUCAAAUGCGACGAGUUUGGCAUUAAGAAGAUUUUCAUGCUUGAUGUUGGAGCUAUUUCGAAAGUGCAUCGUGGCUCUUCUCUUUAAGUUUCCUAAGCAUGGCACCAAGCUACACUUUGUUCUUUCUCCGUCUUCAAAGUAUAAUGUUACUUGUCUCGGUGUUGUGAAAGUGUAGUGGUCACCUUCAUAUUCAAUUUCAUACGGGAUAAUACUUGCGCCAAUAAUAUGAAUAGAAAUAGCCAAGAUAUAAACUAAUAAGUAAUAUAGGUUGAAGGUCUACAAAAUCAUCCUAAAGAAUUUCAUAUGUAUACAUAUCAAAUUAACAAACCUUACUAUGCCUUCUAACUAACCUAACCAAUAGGUAAACUAGAGAACAUUAAAAUAUGUGUGACUAGUAGCAAAACAUAUGGUUGACAAUUCUUCUCAUAAUAUUCAUGAAUUCAAUUACUUUGGAAGUUAAUUGGCAUGCAAACGAACAUUCAAAUUUCUUCAGAAACAUAUGACCAGACAACCUGUUUCGUAUUGAGAGUAGUAGAAAUGAUUAGUCAAAUAUAAGCAAAUCACAGAUGAAAAUUAGAUACAUACCUUUCCUUUUAAUUUCUUGGCAAGGUACCGAUGCUUCACUCCAUUCAACAUGAACUGCUUACGGGGCAAUGUAUGGGCAGGCUCGUCUCUUGAUUCAAUUUCAGAAUCUGUGUCGUCAAGGACUGAUGUCACUUGGACUUUUGUACUCGCUCUCCCCUAAUUGUUCACUUGGACCAUCUUCAUCGUCAACGAGUGAUGAAUCACUUGGAUUUUCAUACUCAUUCUCAGAUGCGGGUGUAGGAGGAGUAGCUUGAGAUGUUGGCGUAGUAGGCUGAUUGUGAGUCCCUCCCCUUCCACUUUUUUUUUUGUCUUACUUCUUGGAUGACUUCAGCGAGACGAAAAAGAGCGUGGUGACGACAACAAUGCUCAAUACAAAAAGAAUCCAAGUGAUGGGCGCCAUUUGAAGACGAUGCAUAGCAUGCACACUGUAUUAUUUAAUUUAACGAUCAAAUACUGAACAAAACGUAAUUAAUCAAGCAAGGCACUUAAUUAUACAAGUAUUAUUGCAAUAUAAAUAUAGAUACGAGUAUUCGUCACUGACAUCACUAUUGUCCUAAAAUAUGUCGCAAAUUCAAGUUCUAUGAGAAUGAUUCUAAUUUUUUUAAUUUAACAUAUUUAUUUCCAUUUGAGAGAGAGAAAAUAAAAACCAAUAAGAGAGUAGAAAUUAGAUGAAUUAAACCACUGUGAAAUGCAUUUUUGACACAUUUUUAAAAAUCCACGGACCAACUUGAAACCAAAAAAAUAAGGACCAAAGUGGAAAAACCACUAAAUAUCUGGGACCAAAUUUGUAAUUAACUCUAAUUUUAGUUUCACUAAAUAAUAAAUAAAGCUGCCUUGGUGUGAGUUUCCAAAGGUACUCAUUACUGUAGAGGGUUUCGAUUGCAGAGCAAAAUUGCAUCAGAGACUCCAUAACAGUUGAUUUUCCCAUUCUCGCUAUCUCAUCCAUUUAAUUUGCAAAUGCUCUAUAUGCAAGCAUUCGCAAGAUAGUAGUAAUUUUUUGCUUAGGAAGAAGAAUACAUAGAACAUGAAAAGCAUCUUUUUUUUUUGUUGCACA
Molecule: non-coding RNA, 5521 nt
Organism: Malus domestica (apple)
Lineage: Eukaryota; Viridiplantae; Streptophyta; Magnoliopsida; Rosales; Rosaceae
Source: RefSeq, a predicted model, not a curated record